CUGCUGCUGCUGCUGGAAGUCUUUCUACACGGGGAUUAGCAGCCGCCUGUCUCUCCCUCUGUCUCUUUCUUCUCCUUUCCUUUCCUUUUUCCUCCUUUCCCUCAAAUGCUUGACUGACGGACAGCGGGCAUAAAAAGAACAGUCAAGCAUCAAAUAUUGAAACUGACAUCUGAAUUAAAGAGUGUGCAAAAAAUCUCUUCCGUCUUUAACUAUUGAAACAAACUAAAAUGGAAAACUGACUAAAAGAGACCUUCAGCAGUUGCUUUGAUUACCAAAGCAUAAAUAGUCUUUUGAGGACCUCCCCUGGGAUCUGAGUGUGUUAACCAGAGAAGGUCCUGAAAUAUGACAAGUACAAGAAUUUAUUUGUCCUGCACUGCCUGACUGCCUGACCCUUCAGCAUGGACUAAGAAGCUUGUACUGCAGUAUUUGAUGUGCAUUUGUGAACAAGGUUCAUGGCAUUAAAUGCCAACAUCUAGAAGGUAGGAUAAAGAAGCUUCUGGAUGUACAGUUUUUUCAGUGUCAUCACUGCAAGAUGAAGAAUAUUGAUGAAUGAAUGAGCAAAGAUU
This is a long non-coding RNA of Cygnus atratus (black swan), 566 nucleotides long. RefSeq lists it as uncharacterized. The transcript has 6 exons. The record is from RefSeq and is a predicted model, not a curated record. Lineage: Eukaryota; Metazoa; Chordata; Aves; Anseriformes; Anatidae.